AUAUGUGAGGGCCAUCAGGAUGUGACAUCGAUCACCUCAUUGAUAGCAAGGUUCUAUUCAGCUGGGCUGGCUAGGUUAUGUCCCUUCUUCUCCUACAUUCAUGAGUGGCUCCUAUCCCAGAAGCUGUGAGACUGGUCAAAGCAAGUGGUAAUUUCAACUGGAGGAGGCCUAUCCUUGGUCAAAGGCAUGUGAGUCUGUAUGCUCCCCCGUUGGAGCACUAGGAGAACUACCAUAGUUGAGCCAUAUUGAAAGCGAGAACUACCAUAUUGAAAGUGACUCAGUAAGUUGUGGGAUGUAGUAAGAGGCUUUUCAUUCCUCCAU
This 321-nucleotide small nuclear RNA is filed under the name Aotus nancymaae (Ma's night monkey). Its description in RNAcentral is "7SK RNA (ENSANAG00000004082.1)". It matches the Rfam family "7SK RNA". Rfam says of the family: 7SK was discovered as an abundant small nuclear RNA in the mid-70s but a possible function has only recently been suggested. Two independent studies have found that 7SK RNA binds the CDK9/cyclin T complex (known as elongation factor P-TEFb). Lineage: Eukaryota; Metazoa; Chordata; Mammalia; Primates; Aotidae. The record is from RNAcentral.